UAGGGAAUCUUCCACAAUGGGCGCAAGCCUGAUGGAGCAACACCGCGUGAGUGAAGAAGGGUUUCGGCUCGUAAAGCUCUGUUGUUGGAGAAGAACGUGCGUGAGAGUAACUGUUCACGCAGUGACGGUAUCCAACCAGAAAGUCACGGCUAACUACGUGUCAG
Molecule: ribosomal RNA, 164 nt
Filed under: uncultured bacterium
Lineage: Bacteria
Description: partial 16S rRNA
Rfam family: Bacterial small subunit ribosomal RNA
Source: RNAcentral